AGAAAUUCCAACCCAGAGGGUCAGGACGGGCUCCAGGACCUCUUGAAUCACAUCUGAAACAUGUUCCCCCUGCUCCUUUCUCCUCCCUGUUCUUACAACUGGCCAACUGGGAUUAUACAACUUGCACUAAUUUUAUCCCACAUGCGGCUGUUUCUUAUUAGGAGCCUGUACCUUUUUUUUUUUUUUCCCCUGUGCCGUGUCAUCUCUCUUCAAUCAGGUGAGUAACUCCACUUCUUAACAGGGAGAUUCUGUUCAUUUUCUUGGCUGGACUCAAGAAAUGUGCACUUAACUUUUUCUUAAAGUGUGAACGUUCAUGUUUUUAACCCCGUCAUCUGCCUUUCUCUCGCCUAAGUCUUGCUUUCCCCAUUCUGAAAAGCUCUACUCAACCAGCAACCAACGGAAAAGUGAACAUUGGGUGUCAAUCAACAGAAUGAUUU
This 437-nucleotide long non-coding RNA is filed under the name Homo sapiens (human). Its description in RNAcentral is "non-protein coding lnc-MED13L-10:2". Lineage: Eukaryota; Metazoa; Chordata; Mammalia; Primates; Hominidae. The record is from RNAcentral.